This is a non-coding RNA of Macaca mulatta (Rhesus monkey), 734 nucleotides long. The record is from RefSeq and is a predicted model, not a curated record. NCBI's taxonomy places the organism in Eukaryota, Metazoa, Chordata, Mammalia, Primates, Cercopithecidae.
UUGUCAUGUCACCACUUAGGCAGACUAUGGAGAGAUACAUAGGGUGAGAAACGGAGGCCUUCAGCCAGCAGCUGGGGAGAAGCUGAGUCCCGUCAACAACUUAAAAGACUGCAGCCCCAGCCAACAGCUUGAUGUAACCUCAUGAGAGACCCUGAACCACAACCACCUAGAGGAAAAAUCUCAGAAGUCUAAUGGUGAAGAGAUAUGGCCGAGUCUCACUGUGACUAAAUGAACUGGAGAUGAAUCUCUGAAAUAUUAGACUCCAAAGUUCUUCAUCUUCAUCAAAAUGGAACUUAAACUGGAUGUAAAACUUAACUUUUUUAAUUGCCUCUUACAAUAUUUUAAAGUUGAAAUUUAAAAAUAAUUAUGUAAAAGUGUGAUAGAAAAGAAACAAACAUCUACUGUGUUUCGUUUGGAAGGCACACAUGUCGGAUGUGGUUGAAGCUUGUCCAUGGAACAUGAAAUUUCAAAUUGUAAACAUACCCCCAAGAAAAUAUUAAGGACAAAUGCAUAACUAAACAAAUCUCCAAGUGAGAAGACCUUACCUGUCUUCCGAAAGCCUGGUAACUUUCACCUGCACAUAAUGCUACCUACAUGAUUUCGUUUUCCUUCUUUCCACCUUUCCCUUCACUCCCCUCCCCUCCCCUCCCCUCUCCUCCCCUUCCCUUCCCUUCCAUUCUUUCCUCAUCUUUAUUGAGGAAUAAUCGAUAACAAACAAAACACUUUGCACAUGU